CCAGGAAAUAGUUUAGUUUAGAACUCUGGCUUUGGGAGCCAGGGGCGGGAGUUAAAAUCUCUCUUUUCUGG
This 71-nucleotide transfer RNA is filed under the name Sinocyclocheilus furcodorsalis (crossed-fork back golden-line fish). RNAcentral's name for it is "tRNA-Pro". It matches the Rfam family "tRNA". From Rfam's summary of the family: Transfer RNA (tRNA) molecules are approximately 80 nucleotides in length. Their secondary structure includes four short double-helical elements and three loops (D, anti-codon, and T loops). Further hydrogen bonds mediate the characteristic L-shaped molecular structure. tRNAs have two regions of fundamental functional importance: the anti-codon, which is responsible for specific mRNA codon recognition, and the 3' end, to which the tRNAs corresponding amino acid is attached (by aminoacyl-tRNA synthetases). tRNAs cope with the degeneracy of the genetic code in two manners: having more than one tRNA (with a specific anti-codon) for a particular amino acid; and 'wobble' base-pairing, i.e. permitting non-standard base-pairing at the 3rd anti-codon position. Lineage: Eukaryota; Metazoa; Chordata; Actinopteri; Cypriniformes; Cyprinidae. The record is from RNAcentral.